Molecule: ribosomal RNA, 460 nt
Filed under: uncultured bacterium
Lineage: Bacteria
Description: partial 16S ribosomal RNA
Rfam family: Bacterial small subunit ribosomal RNA
Source: RNAcentral
CCUACGGGAGGCAGCCGUGAGGAAUAUUGGUCAAUGGGCGCGAGCCAGAACCAGCGAAGUAGCAUGAAGGAUGACUGCCCUACGGGUUGUAAACUUAGUUUAUAAAGGAAUAAAGUGAGGAACGUGUGCCUUUUUGUAUGUGCUUUAUGAAUAAGGAACGGGUAACUCCGUGCCAGCCGCCGAUGGAAGACGGAGGCUCCGAGCGUUAUCCGGAUUUAUUGGGUUUAAAGGAAGCGUAGAUGGGUUGUUCAGUAAGUUGUGAAAGUUUGCGGCUCAACCGUAAAAUUGCAAUUGAUACUGGCAGACUUGAGUGUAGAUGAGGUAGGCGGAAUUCGUGGUGUAGCGGUGAAAUGCGUAGAUAUCACGAAGAACUCCGAGUGCGAAGGCAGCCUACUAAGCUGCCACUGACAUUGAUGCUCGAAAGUGUGGGUAUCAAACAGGAUUAGAUACCCCUGUAGUC